This 75-nucleotide transfer RNA is filed under the name Sphaerisporangium viridialbum. Its description in RNAcentral is "tRNA-Val". It matches the Rfam family "tRNA". From Rfam's summary of the family: Transfer RNA (tRNA) molecules are approximately 80 nucleotides in length. Their secondary structure includes four short double-helical elements and three loops (D, anti-codon, and T loops). Further hydrogen bonds mediate the characteristic L-shaped molecular structure. tRNAs have two regions of fundamental functional importance: the anti-codon, which is responsible for specific mRNA codon recognition, and the 3' end, to which the tRNAs corresponding amino acid is attached (by aminoacyl-tRNA synthetases). tRNAs cope with the degeneracy of the genetic code in two manners: having more than one tRNA (with a specific anti-codon) for a particular amino acid; and 'wobble' base-pairing, i.e. permitting non-standard base-pairing at the 3rd anti-codon position. Lineage: Bacteria; Bacillati; Actinomycetota; Actinomycetes; Streptosporangiales; Streptosporangiaceae. The record is from RNAcentral. RNAcentral also lists the same sequence under 23 other names.
GGGCGCUUAGCUCAGCGGUAGAGCACUCGCCUUACAAGCGAGGGGUCACUGGUUCGAACCCAGUAGCGCCCACCA